RNAcentral lists this unclassified non-coding RNA (346 nucleotides) under Hevea brasiliensis (rubber tree). The record is from RNAcentral. Lineage: Eukaryota; Viridiplantae; Streptophyta; Magnoliopsida; Malpighiales; Euphorbiaceae.
UGAACAACCUAACAUUUUUCCAGCUUCCUAGUUCUUUUGGACCAUUGCAUUUCACUCUUGAUAACAAUAAUUAUUUUUCAGGUAAACUAUAUUAUGCAUGAACUAAACUAGUGUUUGUUCAUAUAGAUUUUACAGUCUCUGAAACAUAACAGAAUAUGUGAAUUCUAAGAAACUACUCUACAGUACUAUUAAGAUUCAACAGUUUCGAGUUCAAACAAUUGAGAUUCAAACCACUCCAAAUUCUCGUACACCAUAAAAUUAGCCCUCAGAAAUUUUUGACCAUCUAGCUCAAUGUAAUGCAUGAAUGCUGUGCAGGACCAAAAUCAAAUAAAGGAAUCAUCAUUGG